CUCGGCGCGCCGCCCCGGGCUCCAGGGCGCACGCGCAGGCGCCAGCCGGCGCGGCGGGCGCGCGGCCGCGGCCGUCCCCUCCCCCACUCCCACUGCGCCGGAGGGGAAUCCGUCACCGCGGCUGCUCAGGCCGCCGCGGUCGGUCGUAGCCAUGGACUCUUCGUGGGAGGAUCUGACGCUGGCCUUCUCCCGCACGUCCAUGUUCCCCUUUUUUGACAUCGCCCACUAUCUGGUGUCCGUGAUGGCGCUGAAGCACCGGCCGGGUGAGUGUGGGCGCUGCGGACCCGCCCCCUCAGCUUCCAGUCUCGGGGAUGACUGACUCGGUCCAGGGGCAACCGGGGGCCGCUGUCCGGGAAGGAUCCGAUAGUCUAGUGGGAGGGCGCCCUGAAACUGCCUGGCUGACCCCCCCUUUAGUACAGAAGGAAAACUGAGGCCGGGAGGGCGGAGGCCGGGUACUAGACCGUGGAGGCUAGGCGCCGCUUCCGUGGCUUGCGGGGUUGGCGGGGCUCCCGGGCCGGUGCGGAAGCCGCUGCCGCGCUGUCGGUCUCCUGGUGGUACCAGCGCUUCCCUGGACGGUGUUUCAAAGUCACCGGAGAGCUAAGCUCCCAGUCCCCGCACGUCUCCGACCUAGCCUCCGGGAGUAAACAGGUGGUCCUUGCCUGUUGGGAAAGUUGUGCAAACACGUGAGCCGCAGGCCUCCUCCCGGUGGGCAUACCGAUGUUCUCCUUAACGCGGUGUCCUUCUUGACACCUGCUCAGCACGUUAGGAUGACUGUCAGAAGCCAGUGCUUCCUGUUUUCAUUGUCACCAGUGACUUUUGUACAAGUGAGAGCCGCUGGGCAUCUAGUUUCACACGACUCUGUGGAGUGGGGAUGUGGUCUUGUGGUUUGAAGACCUUUGGAGCUGUUAACCAAGGAGCAGUAUUUCUAUUUUCUAUCUUAAAUUCAGGAUAUUUGCUCCUAUAUUGCUUUACUUUUGUUGUUAUUCCACCUUCCCUUUAUAUUUUGUGCAUCUCUUCUUUCAAGAGGCCAAGCAUUUCUGUCCAUUUUCCAUGCGUUCAUACCAUCUUUAAUCCGCCUUGUUCUACAAAUAGUUGAUUAGUGAAGAUUUGAGGUUGAUGCUGUAUCUCUCCUAGAUAUUACUGGUUGUCUCAAUUUUUGGAACUUAGAGUAUUUUUUUUUUUUUUAAACUUAUAUUGGAGUUUGUAACUCAGUCUGAAUCAAUUGUUUGGUAGAGAUUUUGACCUGGACAAGGGUAGUAUUACUAUACUAAUUAAUGUAGGAUAGAUAAUCUGUAUACGAUACUGCUUCCUUAGUCUGAAAGGAAGUACAUUUUGUUACUGCCCCAUACUCAGAAUUUGAUAUUUUCUUGCAUUGGGUAAAAGGUUCUCAAAGUAUGGUUGAGGAAUCCACAGGGUUCUCUGACACUAACUUGUUAAAAUUAUAUUCACAAUAAUAUUCAGGUAUUAUUCAUUUUUUUCACUGUGAUUUUUUUACAUGUGUACAGUGGAGUUUUCUAAAGACUACAUGACUUAUAAAUUGUGAUACUGUAAGAGAUUGAAGAGUAUAAGAAUCUUGCCAGCUGUUUUCUGUUUGAAGCCAGACAUUAAGGAUUUGCUACAACAGAAAACAGUGUACUUUUUCUCACUGAUUGAUUUUAGCUUUGGAAAAAAAGUCAUUUUUCACAAAGAAUCUGUUAACAUUUAGUGCAUUUAUUAUUUUUAAAAUGAAUAUAGAACCCCCCCCCUUUUUUUUGGUGGUGGUAAUAGGGAUUGAAUCCAGGGCCUUGAAGGUGUUAGGCAGGUGCUCUACCAUUGACCUUGUGUCUUUAGCCCAUAAAGAACUAUUCUCUCAGUUACAAUUUGAUACUUGUAACCCCCAUGAACAAAAGUUCUUUGGGGUUCUCAGGAAAUGUUUGAAGGGCUGGGGUUGUUGCUCAAUGGUAAGCUCACCUGGCAUGUGUGAGGCACUGGGUUCUAUCCUCAGCACCACUUAAAAAUAAAUAAAAUAAAGGUAUUGUGUCCAUCUACCCUCCCCCCCACAAAGGUUUUGAAGUCAGUUAUUUUUAAAGGUAUAAUUUAUAUACAGUAUAUUUUUUUUUGAGAGAGAUUUUUUUUAAAUAUUUAUUAAUUUUUUUUAGUUUUUGGUGGACACAACAUCUUUAUUUUUAUAUGUUGCUGAGGAUCGAACUCAGUGCCCUGCGCAUGCCAGGGAGGGCGCCCUGAAACUGCCUGGCUGACCAAUGAGUUUAUACCGCUUGAGCCACAACCCCAGCCCAGUAUAUUCUUUUUUAAUAUAAAAAUUUAACAUUAUCAUAUAUAAAAUAUAUUAAUUUUAAUAUAAAGUUCUAUGAUUUGGAAAAUAGUCUUAUAACCACCAUUACAAUCAAGAUGUAGAACAUUUUGUUCACCUACCCCAGAUUUCCUUCUGCUCCUUUGUAGACAGUCCUCCUUCAACUCCUGGCAACUAUUCAUUAGCUUAAAAUUUUUAGUGUAUAAAGGGGUCAGAGUCCCCCAAAGUCUGAGAAUUACUUGGAUAAAUGAAUGCUAAUAUAGUGUUAUAUAGAGAGUAACAAAUAUUUUUUUCUAGUACCAGUCCUUGUAAAGAGGUAAAAAUGAUAGAAUUCACAUGAGUGUACCUGUUUAUACUUUCCCUGGAAAUGUGUUAGACUCCUUAUUUCCUUUGACAUUGUUGACUAUUUUCAGUCCUCAGUACCUUGUCAUUUUCAUGAUCAGAAAACAGUUUUCAUUUGCAUUUGUCAGGGUUACUAAUGAGUUUAUACUUCUUAGGUUUAUUGAACACUUGUAUUUCAUGGCUGUAAGUUUCUUAAUAUCUUUUGACCAUUUUUUUUCUAUUGGGUUGUAGGUUGUUGUCUAAUUGAAUUAAUUUUCUUUAUGUAUCAUGGGUGGCUAAUUGAAUUUGUUUUCCUCCAAGACCUUUAUUAAGCCUCUAGACUGUCUGUAAUUUUGCUUAUUUUCUUUAUUUAGCCUUUCAGUUUUUCUGAGUUACUGAAAUCCUUCAAGUGAAUUCUUUUUGGCUUAAGUUUGUCAUAGGUUUUUUUUUUUUUUUUUGUUCGUUUGUUUGAUUUUUACUUGUAGCCAAGAACCCUGUAUUUUAUAGCCUCUAUAUUGAGGAGUAUUGAUAUAAAGUGUUUAAUACUGGUGAUUAUAGUGAGUGGCUUUGUUCUCAUGAUUUUAAUGAGAAUAUUUUUAAAGUUUCAUCAAAUGUGGUGUUUUACUGUAGGGUUUUAAGAGGCAUAGUUAACAGUUUUAUUUUAAUCUUAACUUUCUAGGUUGUCCCUAUAUCUUUAUCACCGUCCUGGUGGAGAAGGUGACAAAUUUUGUUAAUGAUCACCCCCCCCAAAUCCAUUGAGAUGAUCAUUUGUAUUGGUUUUUCUAUUUAAAAAUGUAAUGGGCAUGGUAGCUUAGGCUUGUAAUCCCAGCAAUUCUGGUGGCUAAGGCAGGAGGAUUAUAGGUUAAAGAAUAGCUUGGGCAAUUUACCAGGACCUGUCUCAAAAUUAAAAAGAGCUAGCGAUAUAGUUCACUAGUAGAGCACCCUGGGGUCAAUCACCAUUACUAAAAGGGGAAAAAAUGUAGUGAAAAGAUAUUCAUAGAUAUUUAAAAAAUGAUGAACCAUUCCUAUAUUUUAGGAAUAAACUUUACUUGUUUGAUGUAUUUAGUUUUCAGGAAUUUUGAUUGCUAGUACUUUAUUUAAACUUUUUGUAUUUAUGUUUAUAAUGGGAAUUUGCCCAUCAAAUCUUUUUCUACUUUGGGUAUCAAGGUUAUGCUGUUUUUGUAAAAUAGAUUGGGAAGCUUUCCACUAUUUUAUAUUUAUUAUUUAUUUUUAGCUCAAGAUAGUUUAUUUAAUAGGCAUUCCCUAUACUUUUUUUUUUUUUUGGAGAGGGGGUGGUACUGGGGAUUGAACCCAGUGAUGCUUUAUUAUUGAGCCAUGUUCCCACCCUUUUUUAUUUUUUAUUUUGAGACAGGGUCUCCAUAAGUUGCUUAGGGCCUCAUUGAGUUGCUGAGACUGGUUUUGAAUUUGCGAUCCUCCUCCAUCAGCCUCCUGAGCUGCUGGGAUUACAGGCAUGCAUGCACCACCAUGCUUAGCGCAUUACUUAUUCCUAGGUAUUUGUUUUAGUCAGCUUUUUCAAUGCUGUGACCAAAAAAUUUGACAAGAACAAUUUUAGAGGAGGAAAGUUUAUUUUUGCACUGAUUGUUUCAGAGGUCUCAGUCCAUAGAUGUGUGACUCCAUUCCUCAGGGACCAGGUGAGCCUGAAUGGGAAGAGUAUGGUGGAGGAAACUUUCACUCAGGACAUGGCCACUAAUAAGCAAAUAGAGAGACUCCACUCUCCAAGGACAAAAUAUAUACCCAAAGGCACUCCCAGUGACCCACUGCCUCCAGCCAUACCACCCUAUACCUGCCUAAAGUGACAGGUAGUUAAUACUUAUUAGGAUUCAUCAUGGUGUAGGUUAAGACUCAUAAUCCAAUUAUUUCACCUCUAAGCUUUUUGUGUUCUUACACAUGAGCUUUUGGGGAACAGUGUUUAUGUAAACCAUAAACAGUAUUCAAUAGACUUAAAAUAUGAAGCGGUUUCUUGGUCCAUUUUAAUGAGUAAAUCUUUUUUUUUUUUAAUAAAAAAAUUCAGUCUUAAGUCAUUUUUGGCAAUUUACAUUUCUCUCAGGAAUCAUUUGUUUCCUUUAAAUUUUGAAGUGUAUUGGAGUAAAUGUGAACAUUAUUUCUAGAAAAUUUCUCUGGAUUCGUUAGUAGUUGAUUCUUUAAAAAUUUUUUUAAUGUAUAUAUAUUUUUAGCUGUAGUAGGACACAAUACCUUUAUUUUAUUUAUUUAUUUUUUUAUGUGGUGCUGUGGAUGGUACCCAGCGCCUUGCAUGUGCUAGGUGAGCGUUCUACCGCAGAGCCACAACCCCAGUCCCUAGUAGUUGAUUCUUAAAUGUUAUACACUUUAAUUUGACUCUUCUGGAUCUUUUUUUCUUAUGUCCAGUGAUAAAUUUUUAUAGCCUCUGAUUUACCUUUUUUUUCUUCUAACUCAUUUAGAUUAAGAUAUGUUUGUCCAGAUUCUUGUUGUUAGCAGCAAGUAGCUUAUAUGUUCUCUUUAUAUGUGGUCAGCUAGACUUUUUCAUAUUUAGAACUGAAGAGUGGAUAUGUGGUACUUCCAGUCCAAUGCCUAGUUUCUCUUAGUUUUACUUAGUAUAUAUAUAUAUGCUCUGCUUAACUGGCAACUUUUCUUAUCCCCCAGAGACUGAUUGUCUAGAACUCAGAUCUAUAGUAGUAUAAUAAAUCUACAGUUCAUGUAUGUGCUGCUCUCAGGAUUCUUAUCUCUAUACUUUCAAACAUGUUACUUUUUGAGACUUAAUUUUGAAAUAUUUUCUAUCUUUGCUAAUACCUCACUCCCCAAUUUUUUAUCCUUUAUAUCUUAUCAUUGUAGUUUCUGCCUAGAGCAUAAAAAUUCUAGUGGAGGCUAGAAGGAAAAGGGGAUUAACUCUUUAUACCUGAGGUUUGGAGACGGUUAUACCUCGUAUUUGUUUGGUUUAGAUUUUGAAGUGUAUUGGAGUAAAUGAAAUGAAAGAUAAUUCUCCCAUUUCUCCACUGUGUGAUUUUUUAAAAAAUUUAAAACAACAUUUUUUUAGUUGUUGAUAGAACUUUAUUUUUCUUUGUUUAUAUGUGGUGCUGAGAAUUGAACCCAGUGCCUCACACAUGCUAGGUAAGUGCUCUACCACUGAGCCAUCACCCCAGCCUCCAUCCACUUUGUGAUUUCUACUUCAUAAACAAAGAUGUAAAACACAGGGUAUGAAUUGGAUUUUUUUCCCCUUAGUUUACCUCCAUUUGUCUUAAAAUCAACUGUAGUUUUCCCUGAAUUCUGGCAUUUGAUUUUCAGCUCCCCCAGUCCCUUUAUCUCCUGGGCAUUUUAUUAGGAAGUUGUAAUAUGCUGCUUGGGGAGUACUAGUGAGAAGCCAUUCUUUUACAUUACCAACUUAAUCUAUUUUAUCUUACAUUUAAAAUCAGUCUUUUUUCUUGUUAAAUCUUCAUUAAAAUAAACAUUUCUUCAAGCCCAUAUUCAUAUACAAUUGCCAUCUACUAUGACUUCUGAAAACAAUCUACAAUUAUUUCUUCUAUGCAUGAAAUCUAUUAUUGCACUCUACAUUCUCUCAACAUUUUGCCAACCUCUCUUAAAUCCUAUAUAGUUCAGUUAAACAAAUUCUAUAUAGUACAGUUUUUGAAACUGUACUAUACUAUAUUUAUCAGGCUCUAUAUUAGAUGUUGAGGAUGCCAGAAUAAAGGCUAUUCUUUUUUUUUUAAUUUCUUUUAAUUUGUUGAAAGCUACUCUUACAAUCCUAAAGAAACCCAACUGCUCAUUCUUCUUGCUUUUUUGGACAGUGUCUCAUAAGAUUGAACUGUUGUUCUUAUGUAGUAGAAAUAGUUAUCAUUGGUUUUGUAUACUGCAGAAUAUUUCUGUAUAAUUCUAAUCGUCAUACAUUUCUGUAAUAUGGGUAUCACUGAACUCAAGGGUACUCAACCACUGAGCCACAUCCCCAGCCCUUUUUUAAAAAUAUUUUAUUUAGAGACAGAGUCUCACUGAGUUGCUUAGUGCCUUGCUAUGUUGCUGAGGCUGUUUUUGAACUCGUGAUCCUCCCACCUCAGCCUCCCAAGCCACUGGAAUUACAGGCAUGAGCUACCACACCCUGCUUAGAACUAGUUCUUGACUCCAGAUUUGGCUAAUUCUAAACUUUCUAAACCAUCUGUGUUCUCUCUUUGCAGGCCCAGUGUUCCUGGUUUCUUAAUAUUUACAAUUUAGCAAUGAACUGUCUUUUGACAUGUUAUUAAUCAUGGGAGUUAUUUUCUCCCAUGAUUUCUGUCACUUCCACAUCACACACCAGGUUCUCAUUUGUUUUAGGAACUAAAUUGAGGGAAAAAGCUUGUCAUAGUUCCAUUCUCUAAUUGGUGGGAAAUGAAAGGGCUAAUAAGUUAAAAAUUUAUUACUCUGGGCAUUUUGGACAGAUGGCAGUGCUUGUGACAACACAAUUUUGCCAUCUUUGUGAACCCCUUAUAAAGAAGCCAGGCAUGGUGUUGUAUGUCUAUAAUUCCAGAGGCUCAGGAGGCUGACACAGGAGGAUUGUGGGUUCAAAGCCAGCUUCAGCAAUGGCAAGGCACUAAGCAACUCAGUGAGACUCUGUCUCUAGAUAAAAUAUAAAAAAUAGGGCUGGGGAUGUGGCUCAGUGGUUGAGUGCCCCUGAGUUCAAUCUCUGGUACCAAAAAAAAAAAAAAAUAUAUAUAUAUAUAUAUACACACACACACACACACACACGUACACACACAUAUAUACUUAUAUGUGUAUAUACAUAUAUAUUUAUAAUUUUAAAAUUAUAUUUUGAUAAUUAUGCAUUUAUAUAUACACAUAUAUACAUUUAAAAAUAUGUAUUUUAAAUUAUAUAUAUUUAUUAGUACAAAAGUUAAAAAGGUACAGACCAAUGAAUUUUCAAAAUUAGUACAUCUAUGUAAUCAAUACCCAGAUAGUAAUAGACCAUUCACAAUCUUCAAGAAGCUUCCUUUAUUAUAUGAUUAAAAAAAAUGUAAUAGUUGCUACCAGUAUGUAGGAAGGGAUGUCUCAGAAAUGGCAGUUCAUAAUUUACUUCUGUAAAUUUAGAGAUUAUGCUUGAAUAUAUUUAAUAUUUUUUUUGAGUGAUCUGAGAUAAAACGCUGGCCAGUGAAUUUUUUUAAGAAUUUCUUUUUUAGUUAUAAAUGGACAUAAUACGUUUAUUUUGUUUAUUUUUUUUAUGAGGUGCUGAGGAUCAACCCAGUGCCUCACACAUGCUAGACGAGUGCUCUUCCCCUGAGCCUCAAUCCCAGCCCCCAGUCAGUGAGUUUUUUGGUAGAAAGAUCUCAUAAAGCUAGUCAGGAGGCCAGUGUCUAGUUUAAACUUUUCCAUUAAUGGACCGAGUAGUUCUAAGAACUUAAAACUCAGUAUUUUAUUUGUGCAAUGAAUGUGCAGUACUAGAAUAUCUAACUGAGGAGUUUCCUCUCUACAGGGUUCUCAGUUUGGGCUGUAAAGAGCUUUUCCUCCAAGUUAGUAAAUUUAAAUAAUUUUAGCUUAUUCUUUGGUUCCCCAGAGUGGUAAUUGCUUUCUGCAGCUGAUACCUAUGUAAUAAUAUUUACCUUUUGCCUUUCAACCACUUAUGAAGCAAGUUUAUAUCUAUACUGUAAUAUUAACUUCUCUCUAUUAAAAUGACUGUGUAUUUUCUAUCUAUUGACUGGACCUCUGACUGAUGAUAGAAAUCCAGGAGGAGUGGAAUUUAAUGUCCCACUUUCUGGUUUGCAUACUUUAAAAAUUUUUUUUUUAGUUGUAGAUAAAUAUGAUAUCUUUAUUUUAUUUAUUUUUAUGUGGUUCUGAGGAUUGAACCCAGUGCUUCACAUGGUAGGCAAGUUCUCUACCUCUGAGCUAUAACCCCAGCUCUGCAUAUAUCUUUUAAAGAUAUCUAAAGUACUUGGUAUAUCUUGAUUAUCAGAUUUAUUCAGUAGAAUGUCAUCAGUAUUGUAGGCAAGUUUGGACUCACAGUAUGAUUAAAAUCUCAAUGUUGGAGUAUAGGAGAGUUAGCAUAGGCUUGAAGCAAGAAUGUGAUAGUUUAACAAAAUGGAGUGCUGCUGCUGCUGCUGCUGCUGCUUCUUCUUCUUAAAUUGUUGUUUGUUUUUUACAAAUUAAUAUGGAGAAAAAAGCAUUUGCUUAGUAGGUGUCAUGGUUUGAAUACAAGGUGUCCCCCUAAAACUCCUGUGUUAAUGCAGGAGUAUUUGGAGGUGAAAUGAUGAGAUUGUGAGAGCUGUAAUCUAAUCAUUCCAUUCUAGUUUGAAUGGACUAACUGUAGGGAGAUGGAGCAUGGCUGGAGAAGAUGGGUCCCUGGGGUCAAGCCCUGAAAGGGUGCAUCUUCUCUGAGGGGACCCUUCUCUACCACUUCCUUGUUAGCAGUGAGCAGAGAAGCUUCCUUCCACUGUGUCCCCUCCACCAUAAUGUUCUGCCUUGCUUUGGACCCAGUAAAAUCAUGAGCCAAAAUAAGCUUUUACUUCUCUGAGUAAAUACUUGUUCUUGUCAAGUAUUUUGGUCACAGCCGUGAAAAGCUGACUAAUAUAUUAGGUUAUGAGUUGUUAAUUUGCUCUGGUAAAAACACUUCAUCUUAAAUACAGCCAUUCACCAGGUCCAUCUGUUUGAUGUGGUCCAAAAAGGCCAGUUAAGCAAAUCAUCACCUUUUCAUCUUUCAAGUCUGUUUAUGGCACUUAUAUCUGUGGUAUUUUUUUCAUUUACUUUGUUGGCAAGAAGAGGAAUCUCUAUAGAGUUUCUAGUUGAUCCUUUCUACCAUAAUGAUUCUUACUCCACAGCUCAGAGAAUCAAUUUGGGGACUGAGCCAGUUGCCAAAUAUAACCAUUCUAGAUGUGCAUUAAUGAACUGGGGAAAAUAACCAGACGGUGGAUCUUUGUAUUUACUUGUCUCAGUGUGACUCAAACUUGAUCUAAAAAAAACUCCUUGAAUUUUGUCACAGAUAGUCUGUAAACCUUUGUUGCUUCCAUGAUUAUUUUUAAUAAUUCUAAUGAAAAAGCAUUAUGAGGAAUGUGAUAUAUUAUUUUAUUCAUUUUUCUUUUUUUAUAUUGAUUUUUUAAAUUUGUAGAAUAGUCUCACAAAAGUAGAACUGUUCAAGGUACAUGCAUUUAAUCAAUACUGCCAGUUUCUUUUUCUUUUUUUUCCAGAUUCUAGAACAAUCUGCUUGCUUACUCCAGAUCUUAUCAAUUUUAUUUUGUUUUAUGCCAAGCAGAGGUGGAAAAUGGUUUUCUAAAAUUUUAAUUUGCAUUUUUACCACUUUCUCCUAAAAUGCUAGGUUAAUGGUCAAGGUUCUUUCUUGGACACUGACCUUUAUGGUAACUUUUCUCUCUUUUUAAGGAGAUAAAUCUAUAACUGGAAAAGGAUAAAGCAAAGUAUUAGUAAUACACAGUUUAAAAAUACUAAACAUCUGGAGUUAAAAUUUAUGCAGGCUAGAACAUUCUUGUGCUUCUUUCUGGAAAUCAUACUAACCACUAGCAAGCUGGAUGUUAAAUAUUUAAAAAAUAGCUACAGUGAAACUAGUUCUUAAGAAUAGGGUUUUACUUUCAAGCUAAAUUAGACUGAGUCCAAGAAAUUAAAAAAGUCAUGUUUGUCAUACAUAAAAACUAUCUUUCGGGCUGGGGAUGUGGCUCAAGCGGUAGCGCGCUCACCUGGCAUGCGUGCGGCCCGGGUUCGAUUCUCAGCACCACAUACAAACAAAGAUGUUGUGUCCGCCAAAUACUAAAAAAAAAAAAAUGUUGAAAUUCUCUCUCUCUACCUCUCUCUCACUCUCUCUUUAAAAAAAAAAAAAAUAAAAAAUAAAAUAAAAACUAUCUUUCUAAAAUUUGUUACAAAUAAGUUAAUAGGACUAUUGUAAACAUAAUCUAAUGAUUUUAUUUUGGCUAUAAUUUUGGAAUUUUGUAGAUUUUAAGUGAGUUUACAGAAAUAGUUUGGAACUUCAUAUUUAGCUUCCAUUUUAUAAUGAAAAUAGUCUUAUUGAAACACAACCUCAUUCAUUCAUUUAUAUAUUAUCUAUGAUUGCUUUCAUAGUAUAACUGCAGAGGUAAAUGAUUAAAUAGAGACUGUCUGGCCCACAAAGUGAAAAUAUUAUUAUCUAUCCCAUUACAGAAAAAGUUUUCCAGAUCCUGGUUUAGUUGGUUAGGGUGAAAAACUCAGGUUCCCCCUGUGAUCCUCAUAGGCCCUAACUACAGCCAUGCAUUGUGUAGCUCCCCUUUAAAUCCCUGAUCCCUUUUACCCUGCUCCAGUCACACAGCUUCCUCCUUGCUGCUCCUUUAGUACCAGAAGUAGCUGGCGUGGGGGUGGGGGGGUGGGGGAGGAUCAGGAUUUAUUCUUCCCUUACUUUUUCACUUAAUGGAAGUAUUUUGAUAUUAAAGUCCAUAUGUGGUUAUUUGUGUUUUCAACAUCUUAGAUUUGGUACUUAGAUUUGAGUCUUCAGUACUUAGAUUUGGGUCUCCAUGUGAUAACUUUUGCUAAGAGUUUUGGGAAAAAUGGUUCUAUUGAUAGCAUAUUUCAAACAUCUUUAUUCAAGUUAGGACAAAAAAUUUUUUUUCUCUUUUAAAGAUCAUUAUGUUAAAAAUAACUUGAACAGAAUGUUUUUCACUGAAAUAAUAUUGAAAACUGUGCAAGUAGGACUAUGUGAGGAGGCCACCUCAUCUAUUCUUUUCCUGAUUCUUUUUUUUUCCCAAAUGAAAUCUUAGUUUCAUUUAUUUAAGGCUAUUAGGUUCAUGAGUAUUCUUUCACUAUCAUCUUAUCCAAAGCAAUAUGCAGCUUAAAAAUAGUAAACAUCUGGAGUUAAAAUUUAUGCAAGCUAGAACAUUCUUGUGCUCCUCUCUGGAUAUCAUAAUAACCAUUAGCAAGCCUGAUGUUAAAUAUUUUAAAAUUUAAAAUUUUAAACCAACAAAUGGUUCUGGGAAAACUGGAAGCAUAUCCUAGUCUUUCAGUAAGAACUCAAUAGAAUUGUAUUUUGGGCUUAGAGAACUGAGCCUGAAGGUUUCAUUUACCUACCUCCUUUCUCUGUUGUAAUGAUGAAUCUGCUGAAUAGAGAAAUAAGUCAGCAGAGUAAGCAGCCAUGUACUAGGUAUAAAAAUGUAUUUUAUAUAUAUUCUCUCAUUUUAAAUCCUCACAAGGUAUGUAUUAUUUCUAUUUUAUAAACAAUGAAAUUUAAUUUGAGUGAGAUUGAGGCCAAUCCAGAGGUUAUGAAACUGAUAAGCAGUCAUAAUUAUUUGUCUGGCUUUUGACAGUCCUUGGUAAGGGCGAUUAAUGGCAGUAGAAUUUUAAUGCUUAAACUCUUUGUUAUAUUUCAUAUGUAUUUUUCCAUCAUAUGAUAAACGUUCUAUAUUAGUACCUAUUUCCACUAAAAUGUCAUAGAGUCUCAGGAUUAACAAUUUUAUAAUGGAGAUGUGAUUUGUGAAAAAAAAAUGUAUCUUAAGAAGAAUGAAUAAAAUAAGUGAAUGUUGAGGGAAAAGGAAAGUUUUCUUUUCUUUUGUUUUUUUUUUGGGUACCGGCAUACUGGGCCACUGAGCCACAUCCCAGCCCUAUUUUGUAUUUCAUUUAGAGACAGGGUUUCACUGAGUUGCUUAGCACCUCACUUUUGCUGAGGCUGGCUUUGAACUUGAGAUCCUCCUGCCUCAGCCUCCUGAACCGCUGGGAUUAUAGGUGUAUGCCACCACACACAGCUAGCAAAGUUAUUUUGGUGGACUUAAUAAGAAAUUAAUAUUUUAUGAUUAAAUAUUUUUUGUGUAAAAGUGUUUAAUAAAUUUAAUUUGGAUUGGUUUUAAUGGCCAAAGGAGAGGUAGGUGUAUUUGGGUUUGGCUUAACCAGUGAGUGAUAGUGUUAGAAUAGUAUCAGAAUACUACUAAGGAAUGCAGAAGAGACACCAGUCAGUAUUCCAAUUGUGUUUUUCAGAACUAAUCAGUUACCUUGUGAAUGUGUUUUCAUUGUGACUGCUGUGUUAUUUGAGUCCUUUAUAGCUCUCACUUAGAGUUUCUAUUUUAUGAAUACAGCUCCAUGCUAACCAGGUUAUACCUGAGAGAGAGAGAAAAGCAGACAUGCGUACUACACAUGCAUGAGGUGGAGGAAGUGGGGACAGAUGGAAGGGGGAGGAAGAGUGUAUGUGUGUAAAUAAACAUAGAAGUUGUCUAGAAAUAGUCACCGUUCAGCAGAGGUGUGUGACUGAAUUGUAGGAGUCGAGAGGAAGGGUCAUUUUUUUUUUUUUUUUAAUUUACUUCUGUGAUAGUAGCUGGUACUUUUGCUUACUAUGUGCCAGGCUCCAUUCCAAGUACUUGAAAUGUACUCAUUUCUAGUUAAUCCUUACAACAAUGCUCUGAGGUGAGUUACUUUUUUCCUUUUCUCUGUUUUGAUGGAGUGUGUGUGUGUGUGUGUGUGUGUGUGUGUAUGAGUGAGAAACAAAGAGUUAUUAAUACAAAGAGUAAGUUUGUUUCUGAGCAGUUAAGAUCCAGUCCACAUUCUUAAGCACACUAUAUUGCCUUUCAGCCUGAGGUAGCUCAGUAUGGCAUUGUUCAUUUUUCAGCUAGUGCUCAUUAACCAAAAGGAGAAGAUCAAAGGUCGUAUUCAUUUAUUGUGUUGACCAGUAUGACAGUCAUUCACGCCUGCAUGGGACAGUACUGAAUGAUGCCGAUACACAUACUCAGAUAAAUAUCUAAAAUGUGUGUAUGUGUGUGUGUGUGUGUAGGGAUGUAUAUGACUUAGUGGUAGCAUAUCUUAUGUAGGGGUUUGUCUCUAAAAGCAGCAUGACCAUGUAACAUCAAAAUAGCUCUUUUCCAGCAGUAGUAACAAAAACAGCAUGAUAUUGGCACCAAAAUAGACUGGUAGGCCAAUGGUAUAGAAUAGAGGACACAGAGACUAACCCAAAUAAUUACAGUUGUCUUAUAUUAGACAAAGGUGCCAAAAACAUACAUUGGAGAAAAGUUAGCCUCUUCAACAAAUGGUUCUGGGGAAACUGGAAAUCCAUAUGUAACAAAAUGAAAUUAAACCUUAUCUCUCACCAUGCACAAAACUCAACUCAAAGUAGAUCCAAGGACUUAGGAAUAACCCAGAGACACUGCGCCUAUUAGAAGAAAAAGUAGGCCCAAAUCUCUAUCAUGUUGGAUUAGGCCCCAGUUUCUGUAAUAAGACUCCUAUAGCACAAGAAUUAAAACCAAGAAUCGAUAAAUGGGAUGGAUUCAAACCAAAAAGCUUAUUCUCAGCAAAGGAAACAAUCAGCGAGGUGAAUAAGAGAGCCUACAUCUUGGGAGCAAAUUUUUACCACUCGCACAAUAGAUAGAACACUAAUUUCUAGGGUAUAUAAAGAACUCAAAAAGCUAAACCCCUCAAAAAACAAAUAGCCCAAUCAAUAAAUGGGCCAAGGAACUCAACAGACACCUCUCAGAAGAUUAUAUACAAUCAGUCAAAAAAUAUAUGAAAAAAUGUUCAUCAUCACUAGCAAUUAGAGAAAUGAAAUCAAAACUACUCUAAGUUUCAUCUCACUCCUGUCAGAAUGGCAGCUAUUAAGAAUACAAACAAUAAGUAUUGGCAAAGAUGUGGGGAAAAAGGCACACUCAUACAUUGCUGGUGGGACUGCAAAUUGGUUCAGCCAAUAUGGAAAGCAGUAUGGAGAUUCCUUGGAAAACUGGGCAUGGAACCACCAUUUGACCUAGCUAUCCUGCUCCUUGGUCUAUACCGAAAGGACUUAAAAACAGCAUACUUUAGGGACACAGCCACAUCAGCAGCACAAUUCACAGUUGCUAAACUGUGGAGCCAACCUAGAUAUGCCCCUCAGUAGAUGAAUGGGUAAAGAAAAGUGGCAUAUAAACACAGUGGAAUAUUACUCAGCAAUAAAAGAAUAAAAUCAUGGCAUUUGCAGGUAAAUGGAUGGGGAUGGAGAAGAUAAUGCUAAGUGAAUUAGCCAAUCCCAAGAAACCAAAUGCUGAAUAUUCUCUCUGAUAUAAGGAGGCUGAUUUAUAGUGAGGUUGUGAGGGGCAGCAUGGGAGGAUUAGAUGAACUCUAGAUAGGGCAAAGGGUGUCAGGGGAAAGGAGGGCAUAUGGGGCUAAAAAAGAUGGUGGAAUGAGAUGGAUUUCAUUAUCCUAAGUACAUGUAUAGGGCUGGGGAGAUAGCUCAUUUGGUAGAGUGCUUGCCUUACAUGCACAAGGCCCUGGGUUUGAUCCCCAGCACCAAAACAAACAAACAACCCCCCCAAAACUAAGUACAUGUAUGAAGAUAUGAAUGCUGUGAAUAUACUUAUAUACAACCAGAGAUAUGAAAAACUGCUCUAUAUGUGUAGUAUGAAUUGUAAUUCAUUCUGCUGUCAUAUAUAACAAUACAAAAAAAAAAAACAACAGGCAAUCAACUUGCUUAGACUUUUGUUAGAGGCUUUGUCUCAUUCUUUGUGAGUGGCAAUUUCAAUCUCAGUUCAUUUAAUUUCUUUUUAAGACUCUGAGUUUGUUGUAUGUAGGUGUCCUUUGAGGCUACCCUGAGACUUGUAUGGGAUUCAUUCACACAAGUAGAGGAUUCAGUUUGUGGUUCUCUUUCCUCCAAAAGUUCCUCCCACCUCCAUCUCCAGGUAUGACUGUUAUGCUCCUUUCCCUGGUUCUCUUUCUGCUGUACUAUUUUACGACUGUGGCUCACUCUCAGGGCAAGUGCCCCUCUGCCAAACGUGCAUACAAAGGGGCACUCAGCCAUGUGCUAAUGGAUUCUACUUAUAUGGACUCCUUUUUUUAUUUUGAAAAAUCCUGGCCACAUUCUAUUUUUUGGAAUUGUGGGUUGCACUAUUUUCAUUUUUAUUUCUGAGCACAUGAAUUUAUCAAUUCCCAUACUUGUUAAACACAAGUAUGUUGAUGUUAUUCUUCUGAAUGCAUUGUAUACAUUUUGGUUGAUUGUCUUGAUUACUAAUGUUGAAGACUUUCUUUUUUUGGUAUGUUUCUACCUACUUAUGGUUCUGUUUUGUGACUUGCCCAUUUUUCUUUUGUUUGUUGACUUUUCCUCAUAAUUAGUUGUCAUUUGCCUUAUGUAUGUUGAAAAAUAUUUUAUUCCAGUCUUUUGUCAUAGAAAAGUCUUAAUUUUUUAUUUUUUUGAGCAGUACUAGGGAUUGAACCCAGACAGUCGAUCAUUGAGCUAUAUCUCCAGCCCUUUUUAGUUAUUUAUUUUAAAAAUUUGAGACAGGGUCUCAACAAGUUGUCUAGGAUGGCCUUGAACUUGUGAUCCCUGUUCCUCAGUCUCCUAUAUAACUGGGAUUACAAGAAUGUGCCAUGAAUUUUGAUGUCUUAUCUAUAAAUCAUCGCUUUAUUCAGAUUAAAUACUUUUGUUUCUCUGCCUGCAUUGCUUGAUUAAAAAAAAAAUCAGUAAUGUUGAAUUUUUGUGAAGCACCUUUUUCUGUCUAAAGGAGUGACCAUAAUAAUUUCCUUGUGUAAUGAAUGAGGAUUAAUGAAUUUCUAAAUACUGAACUUUCCUUUAAUUCUUUGGAUAAAAUCAAAAUCAAUUUGACCAUGAUUUAUUAUCUUUUUAAAAAACUGUUAGCCAGACGUGGUGGCGCAUACCUGAUGGCUCAGGAGGCUGAGGCGGGAGGAUGGCAAGUUCAAAUUUUAUAAAUUGCUUCUAUUUUCUGGAUGGGUUUACUUUUUUUGGUAUUUUUUUUUUUUUGAUAAUUUCAAAUUUACAGAAAAUUUUGAAAUUUUCAACCAAUUUAGAAUAAUUGGUUAAGAAACUAUGUAGGUGGGGGGGUAUGGGCAGGAUAGAUGAACUCUAAAUAGGGCAGAGGGGUGGGAGGGGAAGGGAGGGGGCAGGGGGUUAGCAAGGAUGGUGGAAUGUGAUGGACAUCAUUAUUCAAAGUACAUGUAUGAAGACACGAAUUGGUGUGAAUAUACUUUGUAUACAACCAGAGAUAUGAAAAAUUGUGCUCUGUAUGUAUAAUAUGAAUUGUAAUGCAUUCGGUUGUCAUAUAUAAAUUAAAAAUAUAAAAUAAAAAAGCAGACUUUCCACCACGGAAUACUGUCUUUAUGAUGAACGUAAAGAGAGAAAAGGCUGAAAUCCACCCCUACCCCCAGCCCCUCAGUGGACAUUGCAUGAACCCACAACAUGAUGGCCACAAUGCUCCUCUGGCUUCCUUACAGGAGGACACGAUGGUAUCAGGAACCUGUGUGGUGUCUGAGGAGGGGAAUUAAAAAAAAAAAAAAAAGAAACUCCUAUGUACACUUUAGUCAGAUUAAUCUACUGCUUACAUUUGGUGCUGGGGAUCCAAGUAGGGCUUCACAGGAGUCAGGCAAGUCUUCUGUUGCUGAGUUCCAUUGCUUCAGAUCCUAGUUUUUUUCUCUCUUAUGAUAUUUAAUCUGGAACAUGUCAUUGGCCUUUUUAUUGUUUUUCUUGACAUUUUAAUUGUAUAGGUCAGUUUUUGUUUUUUGUUAGUUUUUUUCUUUUUAAUUCAGAAGAGUCCUCAACUUCGGUUUGUUUGGUUAGAUAAAUUCAUUGCUUAUUUUUGCUAGUAAAAUGAAAUACCACAGAAGUGAUGGUAUGUUCUCAGUGCAUCAUAUCUGGAGUCACCUGAUGUUGUUUACAUUGAUGGCUGAAAGGCUUCUCCACUCUAAAUUUAUUACUUCCUUCAGUAAUUAGUAAGUAUUUUGUUAGGAUUUAUUUUGAGAUGGUGUUAAUAUCUGCUCAUCAUAAACUGUUCACCUUUGGGUUUAUUAUUCUUGUUUCUUGCUUGUCAUGUUGAAAGCUUAGUUUGUUUACUUCAGCCUCAUAUUUUCUAAAGUACUUAAGAUUAUAAACUUGUUUUUUUUUGGGGGGGAGGAUCCUGGGGAUUGAACCCAGGGCCUUGUGUGUGUGAGGCAAGCACUCUACCAACUGAGCUAUAUCACCAGCCCUAAGAUUAUAAACUUAAUACAUAAUUUGACUUAUGGUCUGGGAAUACUUAUAGUAGGAUUUGGAAUGAAAGGAGACUAAAUCAUCUAUUACCAGGAAGCUGGCAGUAAGAACCUGAACAGAGAAUUUAAAAGUGCCCCAAAUCAAUCAUUUUAAAAAAUGUGUUCAGUCUUGCAUUAAAGAACAAGUGAUAUGGUUUUUAAUGGUUUAAUGGUUGUAAUUGGCACAACUAUAAACAGUAAUAAGUUGCUGAAAAUAAUGAAUUUAAGAAGUUUAUUUCUUUAGUGCAUUGCGUACUUGGGGCUUAUUUAAUAUACAACUAUCUCAGACCAUGUUUUGCCUUUACCAUUUCAGGAGCAGUGGAAGGGGCAUGGAAGAAUCCUUUUUCAAGCUGGUUUUCUGCAAUGCUCCACUGCUUUGGUGGAGGAAUUUUAUCAUGUAUACUUCUUGCAGAGCCUCCACUGAGGUUUUUUGCAAAUCACACUAAUGUUUUACUGGCAUCUUCAAUCUGGUAAGCUAUCAUUAUGGUAAACUAUGAGACAUUCUAAAAAUUGUUUUGUAAAUUGCUAGUAAAAUGAAAUUUUUUUCUUUAAAAAGUAUUUUAUCUUCUUGGAAAGUUAUGUACAAGGAAGAAACCCAAAUAAUUCCAAAUGUUUAAGCACCUGCUGUCUCUUUCUUGCCUUUCUCUCCCCUUAUUUUUUCUUUUCUUUUCUUUUUUUAUAUAUUUUUUUUUUAGUUUUCGAUGGACACAGUACUUUUAUUUAUUUUUAUGUGGUGCUGAGGAUCGAACCCAGUGCCUCCCACAUGUGAGUCAAGCGCUCUGUCACUGAGUCACAAUCCCAGCCCCUCCCCUUAUUUUUUCCUAGAGGCAAUUAUUACCACCAUAGUCUUAUGCAUUUAGCUUUUCAGACAUGAAAGAGGAUUAAAUAUUUGGCCCCAAACAGUUUCAUCUUAUGAGCUCAACUUAUACAUCCAGAAUUACCACACACAGAAUUAGAAUACAAUAAAAGUCAAUAAAUGUCAUGAAUAUAACCAAACAAAAAAGAUUCAAAUGACUCAAUAUAUAAUUGUCCUUUGUCAUACUUUUUGUUGGGUUAUUUAGAACCUUAUGAGAUCUUUAACAUUAAUUUUUUAGUUGUGAAAUGAAGUAAAAUGUUGCUAGGAAUUGCUUUGGCUUCUUGUAACUCCAAAUUCAGGUAUGCUUUAGAGAACUGAUCCAUUAAGUUAAAAAAUAGGUAUACUACAAAUCAGUGAACUUUGUUCUGUUGAAAGCCAAAACUGUGCUUCUAUUAAAAACCACAUCAGGUUAAAUAUAUAAGAUGUUAGGAACACUUAAGAUUUCAUUUUUAUUAUGAUAAUUUGUAAAUGAUUGUUUUACUAGUUCUGAAGGGGAUAUUAUAAAUAAUAGUAGCAAUAAUAAAAAGUAAAAUGAGGGAACUUGUGGCAGGAGAAACUUGAAAGGGUAUAAUAAUACACUUGAUAGUUUUGAAUACUGACUUGUUAAUAUAUGUCAACUAAAUUCUUUAUAUUCAUUUUCAUAUUAUAUUAUAGGAGUCCCCUGAGUUAGUUUUUAUUCUUAUGCCCAUUUGACAACUGAGAAAACUGAAAUAAAGAAAUGUUGCUAUAACUUUCAUAUCUAGUAAGUGACUGAGUUAGAAUCAAAUUAAAAAAUUUGACUUCAGAACCUUCAAACUUGAUAGGCCCUCGCUCGCGCGAGCUCUCUCUCUCUCUCUCUCUCUCUCUCUUUCAUGAAGCUGUGAUGGAACCAAGACCUCACUCAUGCUAGGCAGGCUCUCUGCUGCUGAACUACAUCCCCAGUCCUCUCAUAAAUUUGUUAACAAUCUCCUAAAUAUAGUCUUUUCCAUUUGCUUUUUGUUUUAAAAAACUUUUCAAGGAUUUUAUUUCUACAAUGAUAUUUUAAAAUGAUAUUAGCAUUUUAGAAAAAUUCUUUUUAUGUGUGUAGAUGUUGAAAUUAUAUAAAAAGUAAGAUAUCCAGAAUCUGACACUCACCAUCACUUAUACUUCUAUUUCUGUUGUACUAAUCACCAAUACUUCUUGCCUGGAUAGUUGAAGUAGCUUCUUAAGGGGUCUUGCUGCUCUAUUCAUUAUCUCUCUUUUUUUUUUUAAUUUAUUUUUUAGUUUUCGGUGGACACAACGUCUUUAUUUUUAUUUUUAUGUGGUGCUGAGGAUCGAACCCAGUGCCUCGCGCAUGCCAGGCAGUCAUGUUACUGCUUGAGCCACAUCCCCAGCCCUAUUCAUUAUCUCUUGAGUCUGUUCUUCAUGCAACAGAUGAAAUGAAUUGUUUUAAAAUAAAUUGGAACAUGUUACCCUUAUGCUAGAGUUUCUUACCUUAUGAAGAACAAAAUUCUAAGCUCUUACCAUAACCUAUAAAUCCCUACAAAACCUUUCUUCUACUCUUUAAUGUAAUGUCUUACCACUGUAACUCUUGUUCACUAAUUCUUGAACAUAUAAGAUAUUUUUCUUCCUUAGUGCCUUUGAACUUGCUUUCUUCUCCCUGUAAUGUUAUUUUCCCAGAAGACUCAUAGUUUAUUAGAGAGGUCUUUCACCAUCCUUCUCUAUUUUUCUUCCUAGAGUUAUUACUGCUUGACAUAUUAACCGUUGACUUUUUAUGUUGCUGUAAUUCCACUAGAAUAACAAACAGUUUAUUAGACCAAGAACUUUGUUUUGUUAACUGUGUACCAAGUAAUAUUCUGCUUUCAGUAAAUACAUUGCUAAAGGAGUAGAUUGCUAUGUACUGUCAUGAGCAAUUUCUGAAAUUGAGUACCAAGGAAUUACAGAUCUUGAUUAAUUGAUCUCUUAAAUGAAGUGAAAUUGCAAUGUCUAUAAAUGUAUGAUUUCUUGGCUUAAACUAAGACAUAUGUUAGAAAUGGAAAAUGAGAAAUGCAUUUUUAUAAUGAAUUAAUAACAUAUUCAUUAACCUCAGAUCUUUUAUUAUUCCCAUUUUAUGUAAGAGGAAGUUGAGGCUUAAAGAGUUGGUAUAAAGUCUGAAUUUCAACUCAGGCAUUUAGAUUAUGGUCUUUAUAGAGUUUUUUCUCUAAACAAUCUUUAUUAGUCUUUUCAGCUAAUACAGAAUAGGUAGAAAAAUAUUUCUAAAGUAUAUGUAAAAUAGAAACAAUUAUGAUGUAAUAAAUCUUGUGUAUCCAUUAUUUAAUUAAGAAAAAAAUUGCCACUUAAAUUUUUUUAUAUGAAGUGAACAUUCAGAAAGCCACAAAGAUGCAUUGACAUAGUAAAUUAUUAUAGUGUAUACCCUUGUAACCCCUACCCCAGUCAAGAGAUUGUGCUUUGUCACUAAUCAUAGAAGUUCUUUCUAUGUGUUUUAUUCCAAUCACAACCUCUUUCCCACCUUAAAUAACCAUUAUAAUAACACAUCCUUACUUCUAUGGGAAUCACGUUUCAUAUUUUUAUAAUUUUAUCACCACUGUUCAUUCCUUGAUAUAUUAUAGUUUAGUUAUUUAUAGGUUCAGAUUGUCUGAUUUGAUCUCUUUUGUGAUAUUUACAGUGUUUUACACUUAAUGCCUGUAACAGUAAAUUGGGAAUUGUAAAAUGGCAAUGAUCUAAUUUUAUCUUUUCUUUUUAUUUAUUUAUUUAUUUAAAAUUUUUUUUUGUAGUUGUACACAAUACCUUUAUUUUAUUUUUUUAUUUAAAUGUUGUGCUGAGGAUCGAACCCACACUGCACACAUACUAGGCGAGUGCUCUACUGCUGAGCCAGAACCACAGCCCCCUUCUUUUUAUUUUUUAAAAUAUUUUUUAACUUGUAGAAGAACACAAUACCUUUGUUUUAUUUUUUAUGUGGUGCUGAAGAUUGAACUCAGUGCUUUCCACAUGUGAGGCGAGUACUCUGCCACCGAACUACAUCCCCAGCCCUCUUUUCUUUUUAUUCGUCAGUUAGAAUAUUAUUCUAAACAGAUACUUCUGACUUACCAUCUACUAUUUGGUAAAGCAGUUGUAUAGUUCAUAUAAGAAAGGCAGGAUAAAUACUUUUUUCUUUUCCUUUACUAGUUUUCAGUAUAAUUAACCUAUACUCUGUCAUCCUCCAAAGAUGACCAGUUUAAAAAAACAAUAAUUAUGAACUCAUGAUUCAAGCAUAUUUCAUGAGUUUUAAUUUUAAUUUUUGUUUUAAUUCUUUGGCCAGUGGGAGCCUCUUUAAAUUGGCUCCUGAGACUUCGGAUUAGCUUCCUUGCCUUUUGGUGUUAUAAAAUUCAUCUUGCACUUUUCUUCUGGAAUUUCUUUAAGAACCUCCAGUAUCUUUUUAAUGAGAAAUGGCAUUUCAAAACCAUAAUCUGAGCAUUAGCGAUCAUCAUUGUUACUGAGUUCAUCAUUGGUUCUAGGCCACUACAGUGAACAGAUAAGAAAAAUAAAGACAAAAUAACUUAUGAGUUCAUAUUGAUAUUUCUGAUCCAAAUUCAAAACUAUACAAUUUUUAUUUAUCUUAUCUCUAUUACAUACAUAUCUUCUUUCUUUGAUAUUAAGGAUUUUGAUUUUUAAAAGAAUAGGACAUGAUAGAAUUAAACUAUUUUGACAUUGCUUAUUUAUUCUGUUGUUUAUUUGUUUUUGUGUGGUGCUGAGGAUCGAAUCCAGGGCCUCACCCAUCCUAGGCAAACACUCUAACACUGAGCUAGAACCCCAGCCCUCAUUUUAUUCUGUAUUAUGCACAUGAUAGUUUUAGAGUAUAGUAAGACUGUCACCAAUUUGGUUACUGGAAACUUUUUUUUAUUAGAGCUUUAUAUUUAUAUAUAAUAUUUGGGUUCCUUUUGACAUACAAAGAAUUUGAUUUCAAUCCCCAUUCCCCCCUCCUUAAUUUCCUCCUUCUUUUUUUUUCUCUCUUCUCACUCUUUUAUUUAUUUAUUUUUGACUGGUACUUUCUACAUAUACAUAGAGGAGAUAUACCGUUUGGUACAUUUAUAUAUGUAUAUAUUAUGGUUUUGUUAGAUUCAUUCCAUAUUUCUUUCCCUUAUGCUUCCUUUUCUCUCUCCCUCUCAUUUUCCUACUUUUAAUCCACUGAUCAUCCCUAUAUCUUUAUGAUAUCCAAUCCCCUCCCCCACUGCCUUUUCCCCCUUAUUUUGCUUUAGCUUCCACAUACAAGAGAAAACAUUCAACCCUUGAUUUUCUGAGUCUGACUUAUUUCACUAUUAUGAUUUUCUCCAUUUCUAUCCAUUUACUGGCAAAUGUCACAUUUCAUUCUGAUUUAUGGCUGAGUAAAACUCCAUUGUGUGUGUAUAUCACAUUUUCUUGAUCUAUUUAUAUAUUGACAGGUAUCUGGGUUGAUUCCAUAAUUUGGCUAUCGUGAAUUGUGCUGCUACUAACAUUGUAUUGGCUGUUUCAUUAUAGUAUGUUGAUUUUAAUUCUUGGAUAAAUACCAAGGAGUGGGAUAGCUGGGUUAUAUGGUGAUUCCAUUUCUAGAAUGGAAUCUGCUUUUGAAAGUAGUUGUACUAAUUUGCAGUACCAACAACAAUAUUUGAGUGUACCCUUUGCCUACAUCCUUGCCAGCAUUUAUUAUUAUUCAUAUUCUUGAUAAUUGCUAUUCUGACUGGUAGUAUUUGUGGUUUGCAUUUCCCUGAUUGCUAGAGAUGUUGAACGUUUUUUUCAUAUAUAUAUAUAUUUUGGCCAUUUGUGUUUCGUUUUGUUCUUUUGUCCAUUUAAUGAUUGGGUUAUUUUAUUUUAUUUCAUUUUUUUGUGUUCUUUAUAUAUUUUAGAGAUUAACCCUCUCUCAGAGGAGUAGUUGGCAAAGAUUUUCUCCCAGUCUGUAGGCUCUCUCUUUGCUUUCUUUCUUUUGUUUUUUUUUGGGGGGGCGGGUGUGGGUACCAGGAUUGAACUCAGAACACUCAACCGUUGAGGCACAUCCUUAGCCCUAUUUUGCAUUUUAUUUAAAAUCAGUGUCUUGGGGGCUGGGGAUGUGGCUCAUGUGGUAGCGCGCUCGCGUGGCAUGCGUGCGAUCCGGGUUCGAUCCUCAGCACCACAUACAAACAAAGAUGUUGUAUCCGCCGAAAACUAAAAAAUAAAUAUUAAAAAAAAAAUUAAAAUCAGUGUCUUACUGAGUUGCUUAGUGCCUCGCAGUUGUUGUGGGUAUCCUCCUGUCUCAGCUACCUGAGGUGUUGAGAUUGCAGGCCUGCGCCACUGCGCCCUGCCCUCUUUGCUUUCUCAGUUGUGAAAAUUGCUUUUUAUGUUUAACUCUCGUAUGUUUAACUCUUAUGUUUAAUACAAAUGCACCGUUCUGCAUUCUAAUAAUAUUAUAGCCAUUUCAUACUAUACUUACCCUUUUUAAGUUUUCAUUCAGUCUUAUUUUUCAGCUAACUUUAACACUUAAUACUAGUUCUUAUGACUUAUAUCUGUUUAUUUUGGUUGUCUGAAGCUUAUGCUAUAGUAAAUUUCAUCAGGAAUAGUAGUCCCAGAGUUUUCACAUAAGGAUGUUUAUUUGUGUCUUUUAACUCAAAAGCCAAGUUUUUUAUUUACUUAUUUAAAAAAAAUUAUUUAUUUAUUCUAAUUUGUUAUAUAUGAUAGCAGAAUGCAUUUCAAUUCAUAGUAUACAUAUAGAGCACAGUUUUUCAUGUCUCUGUACACAAAGUAGAGUCACACCAUUUGUGUCUUCAUACAUGUACCUGGGGUAAAUGAUAUCCAUCUCAUUCUACCAUCUGUCCUAACCCCCUUUCCCCUCCCCUCCCCUCCCUUCCCUUGUCUUUGCCUUAUCUAAAGCCUAUUUUAUUGAAUAUAAAAUCAUUGACACAUGUAUAAUUAAUAUAUUAAAUGUACUAUUUCAUUUUUCCCCCCUGACUUAAAGCAUUGCUGUGAAAAAGUCUAAUGGUCUUUUAAUUUUCUUGCCCUUAUAAAGUCAUGUGCUUUCUCUUUCGCUCUCUCUCUUUUUUUUCCUGAAUUUUGUUUUCUUUAGAGUUUAAUAAUUUAAAUAAAACAUGUUUUGAUUGGUCAUUUUGGGGCAGUAUCUUCAAGUAUGUGGGAUGUUCUUUUUAGUACAUAUAAAUGUUUUCUUAUUUGGAAAAAUUGAGUAUUUGUAUGAUUCCUUGGACUUGUUUUUCUUUAGGAACUCCUAUUAUUACCGGCAGAUUGGCUCUUCUUUGCCUUUCUUCAAUGAAUCUUUUUUAAAAAAAUAUAUACAUUUUUAGUUGUUGAUGGACUUUAUUUUAUUUGUUUAUUUAUAUGUGGUACUGAGAAAUGAACCCAGUGUCUCACACAUGUGAGGCAAGUGCUCUACCACUGAGCCACAACUCCAGCCCUUUAUCUGUCUUUUUAAGUUAAAAUAUUUUUACCUUUUCCUCUUCUAUUUCUUUGGAUGCACUGUCUGUUGUGUUUAUUUCUCUUUUUGUUUUCUUCUUUAGUCUUCAUAUCUGAAAUUACCUUUGUUUUUUAUUUUUAUUCAUAAUCCUUAGUUUUUAGUUUUUUUUCUAAUUCUGAUGUUUGCUGUGCUUUUUAUGUCUUAUAUCACUUUCUUAAUGUCUUCAGCUUUUUCUUUUUUUGAAAUAAUGAGCUACAGUUCUAAUCUGAUUUGCAGAAACAUCCUGAGUGUUUUUUUUUUUUUUUUUUAAGUUGUAGUUGAACACAAUACCUUUAUUUUAUUUAUUUAUUUUUUAUGUGGUGCUAAGGAUCAAAGCCAGUGUCUCACGUGCUAGGAGAGUGCUUUACCACUGGGCUUACUUUAUUUAUUUUUUUAUUGUAAUAAGUUUAUAUGAGAUUUGACCUUAAUAAUUUUCUGUUAGUAAUAUUUAUAUGAAUUUGGUUUCCUUUAGGCUUUCAGAAUUAGGUAGAAUUUUCUGACUUCACAGAGCUUCUAUUUGUUGUUUUUAAUGUAGCAUUCAAAAGAUGAUGGUACAUGUUCCCUGAGAUUUCUUGGGUCUUUUCUCCUUCCCCAUUUUGGUCUGGACUUUUCUCUUUCUUUUAUUUUUCUAUCCUGCUCUGUUUUGAUUUUAUUCCAGCAGUUUGUUUUCAAUAUGGGGCCUGUUCUAGAAGAUCAUCCUGGUGGAUCAGUUUUGAAAGCUCAUACAGACUAAAUUGUUUAAACCUUUUCCCAUCUUCUAUCAUGGACCCCUUGUCCUAUCUGAUGUUUAAGCUGCCAUAUAUGUUAGUUCACCCUUGCAAUCCUAGCUAUGUGGAGGUUGAAGCAGCAGGAGGAUUACCAGUUCUAGGCCAGCCUGGGCAAUUUAGUAAGAUUCUGUCUCAAAAUAAAAAGGGAUGAGGAUGUAGUUCAGUGGUAGAAACCUUACUUAGCAUGCACAAGACCCUAGGUUAAUCUCUAGUUACUAAAACAAAUGUGCAGGUGAGCACACAGACAGAAACCCUCUAGUUUUUCUUCAAAUUGGCCUACAUGUACUUUCUGGUGAGUGCCCAUUUGCUCCCUUUAGUGUUAUUUUGUUUGUGAGCUUGUAUCUUUUUCCUGUUGGUCUCUCUGAGUGUUGGUGAUUUGUCUCUUCCCACUUGCUUUUGGGGUCUGAGAGGUUUUCUUAUUAGUAUUGUAUAUAGGAUUUUAGUGUUGGCUGUCUCGUUGCUCUGUGUUUUUCUGUGGGAUUUGAGUAAAUUAAGAUAUAUUCAAUCACUACCAUCUUCCCAGAAUCCUUCUAUUAGUUUUGAUGUCCCCAGUAUCUUCUCUAGUCCCCCUUUUUCCUUCCUCAGAGGGAAUCAUCAUAGUUUUGUGCUUAUUAUUCAUUUGCUUUUCUAUGUAGCUUUAGCAAUGUUUAUAUCUCAAAACAAUAUAAUUUUUGAAAUUUUAUAAAAUGAAUCAUAUAUGUUUUUCUGUAACUUGCUGUUUUUUGUUCAACCUCUAUUCCUGAAAUUCAUUUUUAUUGUGUGUGGUUGUAAUUUAUCAAUUUUCACCGUUGUAUAGCAUAACAGAAUUAUCACGUCAUAAUCUUUCCUUUUCUCUACUGACAGUUGUUUCUACUUUUUUCCUAUCAUAAACAGUAUUUCUAAGAAAAUUCAUACAUAUUUACUGGUGUACAUAUGUAAGAUUUUCUCUUCGCAUAUGCUUAAGAGUAAUAUUCAAUUAUAGGGAAAAUGAUUCUUAAACUGUAUUAUAUGAUGCCAGAUCAUUUCCCAAAACCGUUAUAUUAAUUUACAUUCUCACUGCAUUGCACCCAACCUAAGAACUGGACUCUACCAGUAAUUUUUAUACAUUUAUACAUUUUCUUCCUCUGUCCUGUCUUCUAAUUUUUCACAGAUAACCUCUACCCUAAUGGUUGUAUUUAUCUUACCUUUUAGAAAAAUUUAUAUUAUAUUGGUGAAUAAAUAAUAGUAUGUGGGGAGCCAUUCUCACACGUGACUGGGCAACUCCUGGUUUGGGUCUGAGGCGCUCUGGCUAAACUGUGUCGGAGCUUUCCCGGCCCUCUCCUGGUGCGAGAGCCUGUCCGUGUGGGGGUGUGACUGACCACUGACCCCGGGGACCAGUCACUGACCCAGACCUUCAUUGGAUGGAAUUCUCCCUUGAAUUUCUUGUUCCCCAAUAAAAGGCUACUCCCUGGCGUGCUCCCUCUCUCUCUCUCCUGCUAGCCCUGAGUAAUCCUUGCUGCCCUACCGGGUGGUUCGAGGUAUAAACCAGAGGGAGAGCCGUCUGGGACCUGGUCAUAGAAAAAGGUAACUGAGUCUGUGUGUUUAUUUCGAUCUCACUAGUUAACUUUUAUGCCAAGAACCUCAUUAAUGAAACCAGUGCGCUGGACGCAUGGUGGAAUAGUAUUUUUAGUUUUGUUUGUUUGAGGCCCUAUUUUUUUUUUCACAUUUUAAAAAUCCUUUUAAUUAGUUGAUGAAAAUUUGGGUUAUUUGAGGCACUAUUUUAAUUAAUUUAUUUUUUGUGGUUCUGGGAUUGAACCCAGGGCAUUAUAACAUGCUAAGCACACACUAUAGCAUUGAGCUAUAUAAGCCCCUAGCACCUGAACCCAUUUUAAAAUGGAAUAUCAUACUGACUAUAGUUUCCUGGGCAUUAAUUUUUCACUUGAUAUUAUAUUACUAAGAUUCAUCUGUAUGUUUUUGUGUGUAGCCAUAGUGCAUUCCUUCCCAUUGCUGUUUAAUCCAUUAUAUUGAUAUCUAUAUUUAUUUUAUUGUUGAUGAGCAUUUUAUUGGUUCCAGUUGUUUUGUUGUGCAUUACAAAACCACAGUAAUGAUAGUAAUUUAUAUAUCAUUUAUUAUGUCCUAGACACUCUUCUUAGUGCUUUAUAUUUACUAUCUCAUUUAAACCUCACAUGAAUCUUGUGAGGUAAGUAUUGUUUCACUCUUCACAGAUCAUAUAACUGAGGCAUGAGGCAUAAGGCAUGCAGAAUUAAUAACUUACCCAAGGGAUUGCAGAUACUAAGUGAUUGGAACCUAGGGUAUCUAUCUAGUUCUUUGUGCUUUGUUCAUGCAAUGUAUUCCUUCCCCCCCCCCCCCCAAGUACUGGGGAUUGAACCCAGGGCACUCUACCACUGAGCCCCUUCCUCCCUUUAAAAUUUUGAGAGGGUCUUGCCAGGUUUCUGAGGCUGGUCUUGAACUUUCAAUCCUCCUGUUGCAGUCUCCAAAGUAGAUGGGAUUAUAGGAGUGUGCCACCACACCUGACAAUAUUGCAUCCUAUUCUGCAAAUAGGAAUCUUUUCUUUGUCCUCAUAGACCUUUACAUAUAAAAAAGGUUCUGAUUUAAAGACAUAUAGUAUGUGUUACUAUUUUCUCCUUUAAAGUUUUAAUAUUUAGAAUAAAUAUAUAGUCUUUGCUUCAUUUAAUUUUUCUUAUUUCUUUCUUUAUUUUUGGUAUUCGGUAUCGAACCACUGAGUCACAUCCCCAGCCCUUCUUAUUUUUAAUUUGAGACCACAUCUAUAUAAAUUGCUUAGGGACUCACUAAGUUGCUGAGGCUGACCUCAAACUUGCGAUCCUCCUGCCUCAGCCUCCUGAGUCACUGAGAUUACAGGCAUGUGCCACUGUGCCCAACUACUUCAUUUAAUUUUAAUUUGAAAAUUAAAAUGAUGUUUGGAGUGUAAAUUCUAGCAAGUAAGGUCAUCUUUAGUAUCAUAGUGCACACCUCUGGAGAUUAGCACCAUCUACUGGCAUACAGAAACAAUAACUUGGUUAUGUCAUAAUUAUUGGUUAGAAAGAUUUUUCUUUUUUUAAAUUUUUUUUUUAGUUGUAGUUGGAACACAAUACCUUUAUUUUAUUUAUUUAGUUUUAUGUAGUGCUGAGGAUCGAACCUAGUGCCUCCCACGUGCUAGGCAAGUGCUCUUCCGCUGAGCCAUAACCCCAGCCUAUAGAUGGAGUUUUCUUUUUGAAAAUCUGCUUCUGAGGAAGCAAAUGUUUUAUAAUUUUCCUACGUAUUGAUUUUUAUUCCCCAGGGGUUUUUUUUUUUUUUACCUUGAACUUAAAUUCCCAAGUGUAACUUAUUGUAUGUUGCAUAUUAUACAGUUGCAUAGCUAAAAUUACAUUUAGACAAGCUGUCAUUGGGUAAGUCUUUUUUCAAAGCACAUAUAUAAAAUAAUUUAUUAGAGUAAUAAGAACAAGAGGAAACUAUUGUAUUGAACCAACAUUAAUUAUAUUUAUUUAGUGUUCUGUUUUGGUUUAGUUAAGUGAUAAUAUCUUUGUAGAGGAAUGAAUUGAUAGUACAGAAUUCUCAGUGACUAACCUUGGGAAAUUUUACUCCCAUCUUUCUUACUUUAAGUGGUUUAGCUUUCAUUUGUUGGUGGUGUAGGAUUUUAUUUGUAUCUUGUUUUUGGACUAAUUUCUAUCCUUGGUCAUUUUUCUUUCUUUAUCAGUUUAAUCCAUGAGACUUAAAAAUGUGUGAGAAAUCCAUUAUUGUCAUUCAUUUUUCUCUUUUUUCUGUUAUGUUUUCUUUAGGCACUUUUAGAAGUUAAAUGUAUCUGAGAUGUUAUAAGGAGGGAUAUGUGAUUACUUAAUGAGUGUUAGUUGAGUGAUUCAUUAAAGGAAUUUAAAAAAAUCUAAUUUAUGUUACAGAGUAGGAAUAGUUGUUUUAGAGAUUCAGUGUUUCUGAUAUGUUUAUUUAUAAGUCUUCUGAACAAAAUAAAUGAUCUUUUGCUCUGUGGCUAUUUAGCACUCAAGGAGAGUGUUUUUUUGUUUGUUUGUUUGUUUAUUGUGUUAGCUUAUUGUAGGUAUUCACAUAUUUAGGAAUAUCUGAUUAAGGACUUACUAAUUCAGAAAUAGAAAUAAUUAUAAAAUCUUGAAUAUGAAAAGUCCAAGAUUACUCUUGUAAUAGCAUAAGUUUUUAACUCAUGUUAAAGAUAGACUUAGUGAAGGGAUUGAGAAAUGGGGUCAUUUGUACUAUUGUUUUUUUAUUCCUUUCAGUAUUUUACCUUUGAAUUUAAUUUCUGUUAAAGUGAAAACUAAUUUUUUCUAAUUCUAAUGUAUAAUUUUAUUUUAUUAAAACAUAUACAAUGUCUUUAUACUCUAGAAAAAUGAAUUGGAGAAAAGGGCAUUUGGUAAUUGAGAAAGGGUUGCACUCAAUCCCCAGUAACUUCUUUCCUGUGCCUCUUUGUGAACAACAUAAAUCUAUACAAAGAUAGGUGAUAGCUCAAAAGCAAGCAGGGUUGUUAAUAUUUUAAGAACAAUUCACCUCUGGUGAAUUAUUUUUUAAAUUUCACUUGUCCUAAGCAUCUGUUCAAAUAAUGUCAGAAAUUUUUACUAGAAAAAAAACGACUUAUUUUCUCUUCAUUUCUAAAACAUGAUUGGUUAAAACUAAGCAUGUUCAACUAAAUUUUAAAAACCAGGCUUAUAUUCUUUCAGUUGUAUGAAAAAGUGUUCUUUAACAACCUUGCUUGACAUUGUGUAAUUAGAGCAGUCUUCACCCCUAAAAGUGAUUAUGCUUUUGCUUAAUUUUGUUAGUUGAUUCAGUACUUCCAGAAAAUAGGCACAAAUUAGGAACUCAGUAGAUACUUCAUCCAUUUAUGGAGUAUUCACAAGGUCAUGACUUUUUUUUUUUUUUUUUGGUAUCAGGGAUUGAACUCAGGUGACUCAGCCACUGAGCCACACCCCCAGCCCUGUUUUGUAUUUUAUUUAGAGACAGGAUCUCACUGAGUUGCUUAGCACCUCACUUUUUGCUGAGGCUGGCUUUGAACUUGCAGUCCUCCUGACUCAGCUUCCCUAGCUGCUGGAAUUACAGGUGUAUGUCACCGCACCCAGCUGAUCAUGACAUUUUGACAUGUGAUUUAAAAGAUUGAUCUUCCUAUACAGUAUGUGCUUUUCUUGGAUUCCUAUUCUAAGUUUACAUGGAUAAUUCCAUUUAUUGUGUUAUGCCAUAUUGUUAGUACUGAUAGAGUUUUGUUUCUGUUCUUCUGAUUCUGUGCACAUAUUAAAAUAUUUAAAUUUUAAUUUCAGGUAUAUUAUAUUUUUUUGCCCUUGGGACCUUAUUUCCCAGGGCUAUUCAUUCUUACCUGUUCAACUUCUGGCUGCGGGAAUGAAGGAAGUGACCAGAACUUGGAAAAUAAUAGGUGGAAUCACACAUGCUAAUAGCUAUUACAAAAAUGGCUGGUUAGUCAUGAUAGCUAUUGGAUGGGCCCAAGGUAAUAUUAACAAUAUGUGUUCAUAGGUA
RNAcentral lists this long non-coding RNA (30962 nucleotides) under Marmota monax (woodchuck). The stretch from base 14698 to 14767 matches the Rfam family "tRNA". The record is from RNAcentral. Lineage: Eukaryota; Metazoa; Chordata; Mammalia; Rodentia; Sciuridae.